GACGAACGCUGGCGGCGUGCUUAACACAUGCAAGUCGAACGGAAAGGCCCUGCUUGCUGGGUACUCGAGUGGCGAACGGGUGAGUAACACCUGGGUGAUCUGCCCUGCACUUCGGGAUAAGCCUGGGAAAAUGGGUCUAAUACCGGAAAGGAGCCAUUUUUAGCGUGGUGGUUGGUAAGUUUUUUCGGUGUAGGAUGAGCGCGCGGCCUAUCAGCUUGUUGGUGGGGUAAUGGCCUACCAAGGCGGCGACGGGUAGCCGGCCUGAGAGGGUGGACGGCCACAUUGGGACUGAGAUACGGACCAGACUCCUACGGGAGGCAGCAGGGGGGAAUAUUGCACAAUGGGCGGAAGCCUGAUGCAGCGACGCCGCGUGGGGGAUGACGGCCUUCGGGUUGUAAACUCCUUUCGCCAGGGACGAAGCUUUUGUGACGGUACCUAGAUAAGAAGCACCGGCUAACUACGUG
RNAcentral lists this ribosomal RNA (464 nucleotides) under uncultured bacterium. RNAcentral describes it as "partial 16S ribosomal RNA". It matches the Rfam family "Bacterial small subunit ribosomal RNA", at positions 28 to 507 of the family's 1533-position model. The record is from RNAcentral.